UACGGAGGGUGCGAGCGUUGUCCGGAAUCAUUGGGCGUAAAGGGCGCGUAGGUGGCGGCUUAAGCGUGCGGUGAAAAGCUCGGGGGCUCAACCCCCGAGUCGGCCGUGCGAACUGAGUCGCUUGAGCACUGUAGAGGCAGGCGGAAUUCCUGGUGUAGCGGUGGAAUGCGCAGAUAUCAGGAGGAACACCGGUGGCGAAGGCGGGUCUCUGGGCAGUAACUGACGCUGAGGAGCGAAAGCGUGGGGAGCGAACAGG
This 256-nucleotide ribosomal RNA is filed under the name uncultured bacterium. Its description in RNAcentral is "partial 16S ribosomal RNA". It matches the Rfam family "Bacterial small subunit ribosomal RNA", at positions 524 to 776 of the family's 1533-position model. The record is from RNAcentral.